Long non-coding RNA from Homo sapiens (human), 7628 nucleotides. RefSeq lists it as uncharacterized. The transcript has 2 exons. Lineage: Eukaryota; Metazoa; Chordata; Mammalia; Primates; Hominidae. The record is from RefSeq and is a predicted model, not a curated record.
GAUCCUCCCUCCUUUGCCUCCCAAGGUGCUGGGAUUACAGGCGUGAGCCACCGUGCCUGGCCUAUGUUUAGGUGAUGUUUUUUGCUUCAGAAUCUUUGAAAAAUCUUUCUUUACAACAAACCUUCAUGACACGUGCUUACCUAUGUAACAAACCUACAAAUAUACCUCUGAACUUAAAAUUUAAGAAACAAAAAAUACUAUAUAAAAACAAACAACAACAACACUUUCUGAUUUGUCUACCAAGUCUGGUCCAGGUAUAGUACAAAGAAGUGAAAUGUUCUCAGCCAAAACAUAAAAGAUUGUUUAAUAGUUAUAAAAUGAACAUUUAACACAAAAUUUCUGGGAGCAAAUAUGAGAAAAUUCUGCUAAUAUAUAAAAGAUAACUAUAGAAAAGGGCCGGGUGUGGUGGCUCAUGCCUGUUAAUCCCAGUGCUUUGGGAAGCUGAAGUGGGAGAGUCACUAGAGGCUAGGAGUUCCAGAUCAGCCUGGGCAACAUAGCGAGGCCUGGUCUCUACAAUAAAUAACACUUUUUUAAAAAAAGUAGCUGGGUGUGGUGGCGUGUGUCUGUAGUCUUAGCUACUGGAGAGGCUGAGAUGGGAGGAUUGUUUAAGCCCAGAGGUUUGAGGUUGCAGUGAGCCAUGAUUGCACCACUACACUCCAAGCCUGAAUGGCAGAGAAAGACCCUAUCUCAAAAAAAGAGGAUAAAGAAAUUUUACCAAAUUUGUAGCUUAUUCAAAGAAAGUGUCACAUGUGAACACAAUAAAGCACCAGAGUAAGAAUAGCUUUCUCCCUAUCAAUUGCUCACUCAGUGAAGUUACAAAGAAAAUUUCAUAAGUAAGAGCUUAUGCUUUAUGGGGGUGAUGGAUAAGAUAAAACUGCAUGUCACACCUGUUUAUCAAAAUAUAUGACCAGGCCAGGCUGGAGUUUCUGGGGCUGCUGAAUCUUCAGGGAAGGGAACUAUGAGGUAGAUUGGAGUUCCCAUAUGAGUGUACCAUGGGACUAAACAAAGACGAUUAACAAUGGGGAUAUCUUCAAAGAUGACAUUAAAACAGUUAUUGCCACAAAUAUUGCUGUUUUUAUAGUUAGAAAUUUAGAAAAAUAGCCUCUGUAUACAAGCACAACUCAUACAAAUGACUUCAUCAAUAGGAUGCUGUGGAUGAGGAGUUAGAAAUCUUGGCUUCUUGAGCCAGAUUGGCUACUUCUUGGUCUUGUAAUUUAGAUAGGAUCCCAAAUCGCUUGAAUUUUGCUUCUCUCCUUAAUAAAAUGAAGGGAAUUAUUCAUGUCCAUGUUCCUCUCUAUAACGUUGUGAGAAUUGGGAUUGAAAGUGUUGAUGUUUAUAAGAGUACUUUGAAGGAGUAACAUACUAUUGAAAACUUAGGUUUUAUUAUUAAUGAACAGCCAAAUUCCUGUAUGCUCAGCACCAUACUAAACAAUGCCAGAGCAUGUUAGAAAACAGUUUACACUUUCGAAGCUUCUAGGAGGAAAUAACACUUUAAGUCAGAGUCCAGAGAACAGGAAGACACCUUAGAAGUUAAAUUACGUAUCCAAACUCUCCAUUUUACAAAUGAGAAUUCUGAGACCUAGAAGAUCCGUUUGAUUUAUCCAUGAUUCUACAACUAGCCUGGCAUAACCAGGCAUCAUGACUCUAAAGGAGAGUGUGCAGGUCUUGCUGAAGGACAUUUAAAAAAUGGAGGAUCCAGUAGGAACAUACCUAUGUGAUAUAGACCUAAUGGCUCUGGAACAUCAAAUGACAGGUAGGUCAUUGAGGAUGAAAAUUGACAAAGGUAGUUUUGGUUUAGUGUCUAAUAUUUUGACAUAGACAUUACUAAUAACAGAGGGGUAUCACACUUUCUUUUUUUUUAAAAUCCUAUAUUUACCUUUAGUGCACUGAAAAGGAUCAUUUUGCUUUUUGUCAAAAAGGUAACAACAUUCAUUAAGUCCAAUUUGACAUAACUCUAUCCUGUGAUACUUAGAAUAGGCGACCUUUUUAGAUCAGCUGUCGAAGGUUAUUGACCAUGGAUGGGGAAAGGAAAUGAAGCAGCUUUCUAAUGAUAGCUUCUGUUUCUUCCCAAGUGCUCUGGCAUCUGAAAGUACAAAAGGCCAUUCUCCAAAUUAUUUGGAAACUCUAGUGAAAAGCUAAUUUCUAGAUUCUAAGGGCUAAUUUUUACAGUGGAGAAGAUGAAAUGACAUGUUAUUUACCAAAAGUUUUAGGUAAUUAAUAAUUUCAUGACUUUGAAAAUGACAAUUAUUUACAUUCUGAAGAUUCCACACACACUCUACCAUUUAGAUGGUAAAUUGAACAUAACUCUGUAUUAUAAUGUGGUUAACUAAGUAUGUUUCAUAUAAUGUUUACAUGAAAUUAACUGUGAAACUCUUAACAUGUAGGAUAUUUUCUUUCUUUCCACUUAAUGUUCUGCUUUAUUUUGUAUGUAUUUCUUUCCUUUGAAAGUCACAAUCUUUCCAUCUUUUUCUGUUCAAAUCCUUUCCCUACCUUUGAGGUUGUGCACUUCACACUGUACAUAUAAGGCAAAGUGUAUACAUUAAACUCCAGAUAAGGAAAAUACAACCUAACAUGUAUUUACCAUUUACUAUGUACCAAGUAUUUACCACUUACAAUGUACUCUUCUAAAUACUAUUUUAUAUGUGUAUUUUAUUUUAAUUCUCAUAGCCACUUUGUAUCAUAGGGACUUUUAUUUUUAUUCUUUAUUUAAAAAAAAAAAAAAAAGGGAUACAUGUGCAGAACCUGCAGGUUUGUUACUUAGGUCUAUGUGUGCCAUGGUGGUUUGCUGCACCUAUUGAUCCAUCCUCUAAGUUUCCUCCCCUCACACCCUACCCCCAACAGGCCCUGUUGUGUGUUGUUCCCCUCUCUGUGUCCAUGUGUUCUCAUUGUUCAACUCUCAUAGGGACUUAUAUAUAUAUAUAUACUUUAAGUUCUGGGGUACAUGUGCAAAACGUGCAGUUUUGUUACAUAGGUAUACACGUGCCAUGGUGGUUUGCUGCACCCAUCAACCCAUCAUCUACAUUAGGUAUUUCUCCUAAUGCUAUCCCUCCCCUAGCCCCCUACCCGCUGACAGGCCCUGGUGUGUGACGUUCCUCUCCUUAUGUCCAUGUGUUCUCAUUGUUCAACUCCCACUUAUGAGUGAGAACAUGUGGUGUUUGGUUUUCUGUUCCUGUGUUAGUUUGCUGAGAAUGAUGGUGUUCAGCUUCAUCCAUGUCCCUGCAAAGGACAUGAACUCAUCCUUCUUUAUGGCUGCAUAGUAUUCCAUGUUGCAUAUGUGCCACAUUUUCUUUAUCCAGUCUAAAAUUGAUGGGCAUUUGGGUUGCUUCCAAAUCUUUGCUAUUGUGAAUAGGGCCACAAUAGACAUAUGUGUGCAUGUGUCUUUAUAGUAGAAUGAUUUAUAAUCUCUUGGGUAUAUACCCAGUAAAGGGAUUGCUGGGUCAAAUGGUAUUUCUGGUUCUAGGUCCUUGAGGAAUCGCCAUACUGUCUUCCACAAUGGUUGAACUAAUCUACUCUGCCACCAACAGUGUAAAAGUGUUCCUAUUUCUUCACAUCCUCUUCACCAUGUGUUUUUUCCUGACUUUUAAAUGAUCACCAUUCUAACUGGCGUGAGAUAGUAUCUCAUUGUGGUUUUGAUUUGCAUUUCUCUAAUGACCAGUGAUGAUGAGCUUUUUUUCAUAUGUUUGUUGGCCAGAUAAAUGUCUACUUUUGAUAAGUGUCUGUUCAUAUCCUUUGCCCACUUUUUGAUGGGGUUGUUUAUUUUUUUCUUGUAAAUUUGUUUAAGUUCCUUGUAGAUUCUGGAUAUUAGCCCAUUGUCAGGUGGAUAAAUUGCAAAAAUUUUCUCCCAUUCUAUAGGUUGCCUGUUCAUGCUGAUGAUAGUUUCUUUUGCUAUGCAGCAGCUCUUUAAUUUAAUUAUAUCCCACUUGUCAAUUUUGGCUUUUGUCGCCAUUGCUUUUGAUGUUUUACUCAUGAAGAUUUGCCCAUGCCUAUGUCCUCAAUGGUAUUGCCUAGGUUUUCUUCUAGGGUUUUUAUGAUUUAAGGUCUUACGUUUAAGUCUUUAAUCCAUCUUGAGUUAACUUUUGUAUAAGGUGUAAGGAAGGGAUCCAGUUUCUGUUUUCUGCAUAUGGCCAGCCAGUUUUCCCAACACCAUUUAUUAAAUAGGGAAUCCUUUCCCCAUUGCUUGUUUUUGUCAGGGUUGUCAAAGAUCAGAAGUUAGUAGAUGUGUUGGCGUUAUUUCUGAGGCCUCUGUUCUGUUCCAUUGGUCUAUAAAUCUGUUUUGGUAUCAGUACCAUGCUGUUUUGGUUACUGUAACCUUGUAGUAUAGUUUGAAGUCAGGUAGCGUGAUGCCUCCAGCUUUGUUCUUUUUGCUUAGGAUUGUCUUGGCUGUAUGGGCUCCUUUUUGGUUCAAUAUGAAAUUUAAAGUCAUUUUUUCUAAUUCUGUGAAGAAAGUCAGUGGUAGCUUGAUGGGGAUAGCAUUGAACUUAUAAAUUACCUAGGGCAGUAUGGCCAUUUUCAUGAUAUUGAUUCUUCCUAUCCAUGAGCAUGGAAUGUUUUUCCAUUUGUUUGUGUCCUCUCUUAUUUUCUUGAGCAGUUCUCCUUGAAGAGGUCCUUCACAUCCCUUAUAAGCUGUAUUCUUAGUUACUUUAUUCUCCUUGUAGAAAUUGUAAAUGGGGGUUCACUCAUGAUUUGGCUCUCUGUUUGUCUAUUAUUUGUGUAUAGGAAUGCUUGUGAAUUUUGCACAUUGAUUUUGUAUCCUGAGACUUUGCUGAAGUUGCUCAUCAGCUUAAGGGGAUUUUGGGCUGAGACAAUGGGGUUUUCUGAAUAUACAGUCAUGUCAUCUGCAAACAGAGACAAUUUGACUUCCUCUCUUCCUAUUUGAAUACGCUUUAUUUCUUUCUCUUGCCUGAUUGCUCUGGCCAGAACUUCCAAAACUAUGUUGAAUAGGGGUGGUGAAAGAGGACAUCCUUUUUUUGUGCUGGUUUUGAAAGGGAACGCUUCCAGCUUUUGCCCAUUCAAUAUAAUAUUGGCUGUAGGUUUGUCAUAAAUAGCUCUUAUUAUUUUGAGAUACAUUCCAUCAAUACCUAGUUCAUUGAGAGUUUUCAGCAUGAAGCCAUGUUGAAUUUUAUUGAAGGCCUUUUCUGCAUCUAUUGAGAUAAUCAUAUGGUUUUUGUCAUUGGUUCUGUUUAUGUGAUGGAUUACGUUUAUUGAUUUGCAUAUGUUGAACCAGCCUUGCAUCCCAGGGUUGAAGCCAACUUGAUCGUGUUGCAUAAGCUUUUUGAUGUGCUGCUGGAUUCAGUUUGCCAGUAUUUUAUUGAGGAUUUUUGCAUCGAUGUUCAUCAGGGAUAUUGGCCUGAAAUUUUCUUUCUUUCUUUUUUUUUUGGUGUGUGUGUGUGUGCAUGUGUGUGUGUGUGUGUGUGUGUCUCUUCCAGGGUUUGGUAUCAGGAUUAUGCUGGCCUCAUAAAAUGAGUUAGGGAGAAGUCCUUCUUUUUCCAUUGUUUGGAAUAGUUUCAGAAGGAAUGGUACCAGCUCCUCUUCAUACCUCUGGUAGAAUUCGGCUGUGAAUCUGUCUGGUCCUGGGUUUUUUUUGGUUGGUAGGCUAUUAAUUACUGCCUCAAUUUCAUAACUUGUUAUUGGUCUAUUCAGUUAUUCAACUUAUUUCUGAUUUAGUCUUGGGAUAGUGUAUGUGUCCAGGAAUUUAUUCAUUUCUUCUAGAUUUUCUGGUUUAUUUGCAUAGAGGUGUUUAUAGUAUUCUCUGGCAGUAGUUUUUAUUUCUGUGGGAUUAGUGAUGAUAUCCCCUUUAUAAUUUUUUAUUGUGGCUGUUUGAUUCUUCUCUCGUUUCUUCUUUAUUGGUCUGGCUAGUGGUCUGUCUAUUUUGUUAAUCUUUUCAAAAGACCAGCUCCUGGAUUCAUUGAUUUUUUGAAGGGUUUUUCGUGUCUCUAUCUCCUUUAGUUCUGCUCUGAUCUUUAUUAUUUCUUGUCUUCUGCUAGCUUUUGAAUUUGUUUUCUCUAGCUUCUUUACUUCUUUUAAUUGUGAUGUUAGGAUGUUGAUUUUAGAUCUUUCUGCUUUCUCUUGUGGGCACCUAGUGCUAUAAAUUUCCCUCUAAACACUGCUUUACCUGUGUCCCAGAGAUCCUGGUACAUUGUGUCUUUGUUCUCAUUGGUUUCAAAGAGCUUAUUUAUUUCUGCCUUAAUUUCGUUAUUUACCCAAUAGUCAUUCAGGAGUAGGUUGUUCAGUUUCCAUGUAAUUGUGCGGUUUUGGGUGAAUUUUUUAAUCCUGAGUUCUAAUUUGAUUGCACUGUGGUCUGAGAGGCUGUUUGUUUUGAUUUCAGUCCUUUUGCAUUUGCUGAGGAGUGUUUUACUUCCAAUUAUGUGGUGAGUUUUAUAAGAAGUGUGAUGUGGUGCUGAGAAGAAUGUAUAUUCUGUUGAUUUGGGAUGGAGAGUUCUGUAGAUGUCUAUUAAGUCUGCUUGGUCCAGAGCUGAGUUCAAGUCCCGAAUGUCCUUGUUAAUUUUCUGUCUCGUUGAUCUGUCUAAUAUUGACAGUGGAGUGUUAAAGUCUCCCACUAUUAUUGUGUGGGAGUUUACAUCUCUUUGUAUGUCUCUAAGAACUUGCUUUAUGAAUUUGGAUGCUCCUGUAUUGGGUGCAUAUAUAUUUAGGAUAGUUAGCUCUUCUUGUUGCAUUGGUUCGUUUACCAUUAUGUAAUGCCCUUCUUUGCCUAUGCUGAUAUUUGUUGGCUUAAAGUCUGUUUAUCAGACACUAGGAUUGCAAUCCCUGCUUUUUUUUGUCUUGCUUUCCAUUUCCUUGGUAAAUAUUUCUCCAUCACUUUAUUUUGAGCCUAUGUGUGUCUUUCCACGUGAAAUGGUCCCUGACCACCUUGCCUCCUGACUGGGAGGCACCUCCCAGCAGGGGUCAACUAACACCUCAUACAGGAGAGCUCUGGCUGGCAUCUGGUGGGUGCCCCUCUGGGACGAAGCUUCCAGAGGAAGGAGCAGGCUGCAAUCUUUGCUGUUCUGCAGCCUCUGCUGGUGAUACUCAGGCAAACAGGGUCUGGAGUGGCUCCCCAGCAAACUCCAGCAGACCUGCAGCGGGAAAAUGAACAAAUGAAAAGGAAUAGCAUCAACAUCAACAAAAAGGACAUCCACACAAAAACCCCAGAAACCCCAUGCGAAGGUCACAAACAUCAAAGACCAAAGGUAGUUAAAUCCAUGAAGAUGAGGAAAAACCAGUGCAAAAAGGCUGAGAAUUCCCAAAACCCAGAACUUCUCUUCUCCUCCAAAGGAUUACAACUCCUUGCCAGCAAGGGAACAAAACUGGACAGAGAAUGAGUUUGAUGAAUUGACAGAAGUAGGCUUCAGAAAGAGGGUAAUAACAAACUCCUCCGAGCUAAAGGAGCAUGUUCUAACCCAAUGCAAGAAAGCUAAGAACCUUGAAAAAAGGUUAGAGGAAUUGCUAAGUAGAAUAACUAGUUUAGAGAAGAACAUAAAAGACCUGAUGGAGCUGAAAAAUGCAGCACGAGAACUUUGUGAACCAUACACAAGUAUCAGUAGCUGAAUCGAUGAAGCGGAAGAAAGGAUAUCAUAGAUUGAAGAUGAACUUAAUGAAAUAAAGUGUGAAGACAAGAUUAGAGAAAAAAA